Small nuclear RNA from Myotis lucifugus (little brown bat), 164 nucleotides. Its record names the gene U1. It matches the Rfam family "U1 spliceosomal RNA". Rfam says of the family: U1 is a small nuclear RNA (snRNA) component of the spliceosome (involved in pre-mRNA splicing). Its 5' end forms complementary base pairs with the 5' splice junction, thus defining the 5' donor site of an intron. Lineage: Eukaryota; Metazoa; Chordata; Mammalia; Chiroptera; Vespertilionidae. The record is from Ensembl.
ACACUUACCUGACAGGGGAAAUGACAUGAUCAGGAAGGUGGUUUUCCCAGGAUGAGGUUUAUCUAUUUCCUCAGAAUGUGCUGACCCCUGCUACUUCCCAAAAUAUGGGGAACUUGGCUGCAUAAUUUAUGGUGGUGAGGGGACUGCAUCCAUGCUCUCCCCUG